GAUAUAACAGAGUGGCGACACUCCCAUAGACCUCCAUAGGAAACAAUGGCGGACGUUUUUUCAGGCUACUUCCGCGUUAUGGAGAGCUCAACAGUUCUUAACAGUGACAUUCGCGGAGUUUGCCUCAUUCACUUCCAUUGGUGUCUGCCUAACUUUGUCAGCGAUGCUGAAAGUGAUGUGACAAGACAUUGUCUUCAAUUAAGUGGUCCUUGACCAAGGAUGCAGAGGACAAGACGGGUGUGUAGUAUUGACUGAAAUUAUCAGAGAAGGUCAUUUUUUAUGGUUUAGGUCCAAACGAAGGGACCCUUCCAACCUCAGCAUCUCCAACACCUCCUGUCACACCUCCAGCCAAAUGUGAUGCAUCUUCCUCAGUUAACCUUCUUGUACUGUAGGUGUGCAUGUCCAGCAUCCUUUGCACAUUAAUGUCUUUAGUUGUACACACGGUACGGUUGUUCAGAUUUGGGAAUCUGAAAUGUUUUUCAGAAUGUCUUUGAAAAUAUAAAUGGGUGUUAACCCUCCUUUUUAUAUUGCAGUCUCACCAUAUCUCCCUUAAGCCUUUUCUGUGUGUAUUCCUGUUCUUGAUGUUGUUAAAACAUAGCCUACUUGUUCCACACAUUGAAAAUGUAAUAAACAAAUGUAUUGAAAACUCAAAAUGUAUCAGUCAUCCUUUUUAUGCUGUUCUAAGUGCUUUCUUGAAACAGAUGAUUGCGUAUUGAGUUACAAUGUUAUCGAAACAGUGGGUGUCCUGAACGAACUGUUGAACAAACUUAACUUUAACAUACACACUUUUAACAUUUUGGCUGUUAUUUAUCGUUCUUUGUUAAUGUAUUUUCAUAUGUUUAUGGCUUAAUCUGAAAAUAUUACUAAGGCUGUGUGGUGGCCAUAUUUAGGCUAUUCCUUAAAAUAAACAAAUUAACUGAUUGACUGCAUUGAUCUAACUUUUAACGUAUAACCUGUUACUGGUUGCCAUAUAUUAUAGAUGUUCAUGGCUUACUCCUAAAAUUGUGAAGGCUGUGGGUGUGUAGGCCUAUAUAGUUAGG
Molecule: long non-coding RNA, 1040 nt
Organism: Sardina pilchardus (European sardine)
Lineage: Eukaryota; Metazoa; Chordata; Actinopteri; Clupeiformes; Clupeidae
Exons: 3
Source: RefSeq, a predicted model, not a curated record